GAUGAACGCUGACAGAAUGCUUAACACAUGCAAGUCAACUUGAAUUUGGGUUUUUAACUUAGGUUUGGGUGGCGGACGGGUGAGUAACGCGUAAAGAACUUGCCUCACAGCUAGGGACAACAUUUGGAAACGAAUGCUAAUACCUAAUAUUAUGAUAAUAGGGCAUCCUAUAAUUAUGAAAGCUAUAAGCGCUGUGAGAGAGCUUUGCGUCCCAUUAGCUAGUUGGAGAGGUAACGGCUCACCAAGGCGAUGAUGGGUAGCCGGCCUGAGAGGGUGAUCGGCCACAAGGGGACUGAGACACGGCCCUUACUCCUACGGGAGGCAGCAGUGGGGAAUAUUGGACAAUGGACCGGGAGUCUGAUCCAGCAAUUCUGUGUGCACGAUGAAGUUUUUCGGAAUGUAAAGUGCUUUCAGUUGGGAAGAAACAAAUGACGGUACCAACAGAAGAAGUGACGGCUAAAUACGUG
RNAcentral lists this ribosomal RNA (467 nucleotides) under uncultured bacterium. Its description in RNAcentral is "partial 16S ribosomal RNA". It matches the Rfam family "Bacterial small subunit ribosomal RNA", at positions 28 to 507 of the family's 1533-position model. The record is from RNAcentral.